UUUUCUUACAUCUCGUCCUCCCGGCUCAGUUAUCAUAUACGUCUUCAAAUUAUAGUGCCUUCACACUGGAAGGAAAGCCCCUCUACCUAACAAGAUUAAGUGAUAAGCCAAAAAUGUUUGAUUUCUAAAACAAACUUUCGUUAAGUGACUCCA
Molecule: antisense RNA, 153 nt
Filed under: Eucalyptus grandis
Lineage: Eukaryota; Viridiplantae; Streptophyta; Magnoliopsida; Myrtales; Myrtaceae
Description: Antisense RNA which regulates isiA expression
Rfam family: Antisense RNA which regulates isiA expression
Source: Rfam by way of RNAcentral